RNAcentral lists this transfer RNA (72 nucleotides) under Otolemur garnettii (small-eared galago). It matches the Rfam family "tRNA". Rfam says of the family: Transfer RNA (tRNA) molecules are approximately 80 nucleotides in length. Their secondary structure includes four short double-helical elements and three loops (D, anti-codon, and T loops). Lineage: Eukaryota; Metazoa; Chordata; Mammalia; Primates; Galagidae. The record is from Rfam by way of RNAcentral.
GGCCCUGUGGCUCAACAGUAGGGCACUGGCCCUAUAUGCCAGAGGUGGCAGGCUCAAACCCAGCCCCAGCCA